This 273-nucleotide ribosomal RNA is filed under the name uncultured bacterium. RNAcentral's name for it is "partial small subunit ribosomal RNA". It matches the Rfam family "Bacterial small subunit ribosomal RNA", at positions 26 to 285 of the family's 1533-position model. The record is from RNAcentral.
AGAAUCAACGCUGGCGGCGUGCCUAACACAUGCAAGUCGAACGCGAAAGUCCCGCAAGGGAUUAGUAGAGUGGCAAACGGGUGAGUAACGCGUGGGUGACCUGCCUUCGAGUGGGGGGAUAACGUUUCGAAAGGGACGCUAAUACCGCAUGACAUCCUGCCUUUGAAGAGGCGGAGAUCAAAGCCGGGGAUCGCAAGACCUGGCGCUUGAUGAGGGGCCCGCGUCUGAUUAGCUAGUUGGUGGGGUAACGGCUCACCAAGGCAACGAUCAGUA